This 1269-nucleotide ribosomal RNA is filed under the name Macrodorcas seguyi. Its description in RNAcentral is "16S ribosomal RNA". The stretch from base 576 to 1269 matches the Rfam family "Archaeal large subunit ribosomal RNA", at positions 1423 to 2808 of the family's 2987-position model. Lineage: Eukaryota; Metazoa; Arthropoda; Insecta; Coleoptera; Lucanidae. The record is from RNAcentral.
AAUUAAAAUUUUUAUUAAUAAAGGGUUUUUAAAAGUAUUUAUAGGUUUAAGUAUAAAUUUGAAAUAAUUAAUUUUAUUAUAGAUAAAUAGUACAGUGAGGGGAUUUUUGAAAUUUAAAGAAGAAUAUUUUGUUUGUAGUACCUUUUGUAUCAGGGUUGAUUAAAAAUGGGCUUUGUAGAAAGUUUUCUCGAAUUUAUAAGAGCUAAAUAUAUAUAUAUAUUAAUGUGGAAGAAUUACUUUUAAUAUAUAUUUGGAAAUUAGACGUUAGUCGAUUUUAAAUAUAUCUAGUUUUUUAAGAAAGUAAUUUAAUUACGUUAAUUUAAUAGAUAAUUUUAAUUGAAAAUUGAUCUUUAAAUUAAUAAAUAUCUAAGGGGAUGAGCUUUUGGAUAGAUUUUUAUAAAUUUUUGAUUUUGAAAGUUUAAUAGGAAUAGAAGUUUUCAUUUUUUGUAGUGUUUUAUAUCAAGAUUUUCAUAAAGGUAAUUUAUUUUAUUUUAAAUUUUUUAUUAAAAUAUUAAACUGAAUUUAAAAUUUUAAGUAAUAAUGAUUAAAUUAGUAUAGGUUUUGUUUAGAUGAAUAAUUGAUGAAAGUUUUAAUUAAGUAACUCGGCAAAUAUAUUUUCUGCCUGUUUAUUAAAAACAUGGCCUUUUGGUAUUAAUUUAAGGUCUGGCCUGCCCAAUGAUUUGAUUAAAUGGCCGCGGUACUUUGACCGUGCAAAGGUAGCAUAAUCAUUAGUUUUUUAAUUGAAAGCUGGAAUGAACGGUCGGACAAGAAAAUUACUGUCUCAAUUAAAUGGUUUUAGAAUUUUAUUUUUUAGUAAGAAAGCUUAAAUGUUUUUAAGGGACGAGAAGACCCUAUAGAAUUUUAUAAAUUUUUAUAGAUUAGAUUUUAGGAUUUAUUGUUUGGAUUUAUAAAAAUUUGUUUUAUUGGGGUGAUAGAAAAAUUUAAAAAACUUUUUUUAAUUAAUUACACUUAUUUGUGUAUAAAUGAUCCGUUUUUUACGAUUAUAAGAUUAAAUUACCUUAGGGAUAACAGCGUAAUUAGUUUGGAGAGUUCAUAUCGAUAAACUAGUUUGCGACCUCGAUGUUGGAUUAAAAUAAACUUUUGGUGUAGGGGCUAAUAAGUUAAGUCUGUUCGACUUUUAAAAUUUUACAUGAUCUGAGUUUAAACCGGCGUGAGCCAGGUUGGUUUCUAUCUUUAAAUAAUUUUAAUAUUUUAGUACGAAAGGACCAAGUAUUAGUUUUAAUAAAUUAAAUUUAGGAUAUUGAUAUU